GCGCGAAAACUUUACAAUGCGGGCAACCGCGAUAAGGGGACCUCGAGUGCUGGGUUACAAACCUGGCUGUUGGGCUGCCUAAAAAGCAGUCUAUAGCAAGGGCCGGGCAAGACCGGUGCCAGCCGCCGCGGUAACACCGGCGGCUCGAGUGGUAACCGCUAUUAUUGGGUCUAAAGGGUCUGUAGCCGGCCGACUAAGUCUCUUGGGAAAUCUGGCAUCUCAAGUGUCAGGCUGCCAGGGGAUACUGGUCGGCUUGGGACCGGGAGAGGUGAGAGGUACCUCGGGGGUAGGGGUGAAAUCUUGUAAUCCUCGAGGGACCACCAGUGGCGAAGGCGUCUCACCAGAACGGAUCCGACGGCAAGGGACGAAAGCUAGGGGCACGAACCGGAUUAGAUACCCGGGUAGUCCUAGCCGUAAACGAUACUCGCUAGGUGUCGGCCACGGUGCGACCGUGGUCGGUGCCGUAGGGAAGCCGUGAAGCGAGCCACCUGGGAAGUACGGCCGCAAGGUUGAAACUUAAAGGAAUUGGCGGGGGAGCACCACAACGGGUGGAGCCUGCGGUUUAAUUGGAUUCAACGCCGGAAAGCUUACCGGGGGCGACAGCAAUAUGAAGGUCAGGCUGAAGACCUUACCGGAUUCGCU
Molecule: ribosomal RNA, 642 nt
Filed under: uncultured Methanosaeta sp.
Lineage: Archaea; Methanobacteriati; Methanobacteriota; Methanomicrobia; Methanotrichales; Methanotrichaceae
Description: bacterial SSU rRNA
Rfam family: Archaeal small subunit ribosomal RNA
Source: RNAcentral